CAAAUUCCAGCCAGGGUGGGUGUGACUGCUCCAUCAAGACGACGGGACAUGGACAGCCUCGGUGAAACACUGGAGACUCCUGGGCAGGGAGGCAGGGGCUGCCCAUGGUCACAGGGGGAUGCUGCUCUGUUUGGUGCUUCUCCUCUUUCAGCCAGAAACACACAGUGAUGGGA
Molecule: long non-coding RNA, 173 nt
Organism: Oxyura jamaicensis (ruddy duck)
Lineage: Eukaryota; Metazoa; Chordata; Aves; Anseriformes; Anatidae
Exons: 3
Source: RefSeq, a predicted model, not a curated record